RNAcentral lists this ribosomal RNA (492 nucleotides) under uncultured bacterium. RNAcentral describes it as "partial 16S ribosomal RNA". It matches the Rfam family "Bacterial small subunit ribosomal RNA", at positions 29 to 507 of the family's 1533-position model. The record is from RNAcentral.
AGUGAACGCUGGCGGUAGGCCUAACACAUGCAAGUCGAACGGCAGCACAGUAGGGCUUGCCCUCUGGGUGGCGAGUGUCGGACGGGUGUGGAAUACAUCUGAAUCUGCCCAGUUGUGUGGGGUAUCGUAGGGAAACUUACGCUAAUAUCGCAUAUGCCCUUUGCGUGUGAGAGGAGGAUCUCUUGACCUCUCGCGCUUUGAUGUGCCGCGAUGUCGGAUUAGCUAGUUGGCGGGGUAAUGGCCCACCAAGGCGACGAUCCGUAGCUGGUCUGAGAGGAUGAUCAGCCACACUGGAACUGAGACACGGUCCAGACUCCUACGGGAGGCAGCAGUGGGGAAUAUUGGACAAUGGGCGCAAGCCUGAUCCAGCCAUACCGCGUGGGUGAAGAAGGCCUUCGGGUUGUAAAGCCCUUUUGUUGGGAAAGAAAACCUUCAGGCUAAUACCCUGGGAGGAUGACGGUACCCAAAGAAUAAGCACCGGCUAACUUCGUG